CGAACCCAGGUCAAUCAUGUGCAAGGCAAGGCAAGAGCCCUCCCUGCUGUGCCAUCCCUCUUGCCCCAGGAAUGUAAUUCACGGAUUGGAGAGACUUGGGGGCGUCAGUAGAAAGAUCAGUGAAAGGAAUCCUGGCUGCUGGGGAGAAUGUUACAGCCAAGGCUCUGAAGCACGCGCCAAACCCUCCUCCCGUCUCCCAUUUCACAGCUGGGGAAACUGAGGCCGGCUAAUAAGACAACUUCAAGCUUUGAACUUGCCAGUGGAGGCCUCCUCAGCAGGACCCCGAAGCCUCACUCACCCUUCCUGUUUUGGGGUAGCCUCUGUUGCUCCCCUCAGGAGUCCUUCCCCUUCCUGCCCUCUCCUUGGAUCCCUCCCUUGUUUCUUCAUCUCUUCUGGGGCUCCAACGAUCUGACCCCAUCUCCCUCCUUUGCCUGAUCCUCCCAACACCUCCUAACUCCAACCUGUCCUAUUUCAACCCCUACACUGAUAAAAGGGGGACCUCCCUUCCCCAGACUCUGGUGUCUUCUGGCACUUUCCUCCCUACUGUUAUUCCCACUCAGACUUCUGCCACCCUCCUCUAGUGACUGCCCUCACCCCUGCUGAUUCUUUCAUCUCUUUAAACACACCCCUGCAGCCCCAGUGUCCAUUUUGGCAGGAUCCCAACCCUCGAUUGCUUUGGUCGCCCAACCCUUGACCUAGUAGCUCUGUGCUCACCGGCCUCACCCACCCCCUUUUCUCCCUUCUGCCCACCCUGCCAUCUCUGUCCCCAGCUCCCCUGCCCCUGCUCCUCCUCCUCCUCCUCCUCCAUCUUCUGUCUUUUCCUCCUCCUUCUUUC
This is a long non-coding RNA of Suncus etruscus (white-toothed pygmy shrew), 835 nucleotides long. RefSeq lists it as uncharacterized. The transcript is spliced from 3 exons. The record is from RefSeq and is a predicted model, not a curated record. NCBI's taxonomy places the organism in Eukaryota, Metazoa, Chordata, Mammalia, Eulipotyphla, Soricidae.